CACGGAGGGCCGGUCACCUCUUUGGACGGCCGGUGACGCCGAGUUUGGUGCACCCAGGAUGGGUUUGCUGCCCUCCUGGCUGCCAGGGCACGCUGCUGGCUGCCGCGGAGCCUGCUGCCAGCCAGCACCCCCAGAGCCCUCUCUGCAGCCCCAGAGCUGCCCCUCUCCCAGUUUAGCCUCGUGUCUGGCAUUUCUCUAUCCCAGGUGCAGAAUCAGGCUUUUUGACUUGUCAUUUGCAUGUCACUGGUGAUGGCCCAGUGCUCCACUGUAUCCAGAUCCCUCUCUCUGCAAGGACCCUUGUCCCUCAAGAGAGUCAACAGCACCUUCCAGUUUGGUACAGCAGAAGUCAGACUGUUUUCCUUACCAACAGUAACCAAACGUACAUAUCUUCUCAGAGCUAGUAAAUCUAUGUUCAACCUUCACAAAAAUUCUUAAAACUUUCUUGAUAAAUCAGUGGUUUCUUUUCCUGCUUACAAACAAUUAAAUUCAAUCAAGUCUCUGCAUAAUUCCUUUGGGUUUCAGAGUUUGGAGAGUAUUUUGGAAUUCCAGAACAAAGAGUGCUAAACUUCAUGAUUAACGGAGAAGAAAUCUGACACUUACCAUUUCCUAUUUUCAGGGAACAAUUUUGUCUCCUUUCAGUCAUUCACAGGCCUUUUAGAAUAAUCACAGGAUAGUAGUUAAAGAACAGUUUGCUGUAAGGUUGUCAGUAUGGGAUAUGAUAGAGAAUGAACACUCCCACUGAAAUCAAGAGGGUCUUCUUCUGUGAAGACGGCUGUGUAAAAGGCUUUCAGAUGCUGCAACUGGAACUAUAUUUUUCACUGCAUUGUCUGAACUCCGUAUCUUAUAGUUGCAUUGAAAAUAUCUAGUCAAAUAUGUCUACUUUAAAUGAACUCUCUGCUGUGGUUCAUUUCUCUUCCUUUGUGUACACCCCUGCUCUCCCACACAUGUAUUUUUAGUUCUGCCCAUCCUGUCCUUCUUCUGUGACUUCCAAUUACUUGCUAUCAUCUGUUAACAAUUUGCAAGUAUUUGCUUGAUGUCAAGGCAUGAGAAAACAAAAUUGGGAAAACACUCUUCCCCAAAAAUGGCCUCUACUUCUAGCCAUCAAAUUAAUACCUGAAAAAGUCUGAUUGCCCAAAACCCCUCCAGAAUUUUCUUAUGUAACUGAAAUAAGAUACUUCUGUGAAAAAUCACUGGUAGAUAGACUGAAAAACACUACUCUGCUGGUAUAAUGUAAAUAUCCUUGUAAUAAGAACUCUAUCUUUCGUAAAAAUACCCAGUGACAUAGAAGAGGGAUUUUCUUUCCCUGGGAGUGCUGGUAGCUUGCUGUCCUAGAUGUUCAAGGAUUUCUGGAGUCAGGAAAAAGCUUUUUAUCAACGUCCUAGGGGUGGCACAGAGAGACUGAGUGGCACCUCACAGAUGCAUAACAUGUCAUGAUCUGGGCAGCUGUUACAAUUUAAUCUCAAAAUGUAAAGCUGUUACUGGUUUACCUUUAAUACUCAGGGGAAAUGUUAAUUUUCAUUUAAUCAAAGGUUGGAGAACAUGACAGUCUGCUGGUGUUUUAAUCACUUGCAAUAGAUAAUACAGAAAAGGUCAUUACAGAAAUUUCCAAAAGAUCGCUGCCAUUUGCUAAUGUAUGAGGGCUCCAAGUAUCAAAAAAAUUAACACUGUUUUCUGAAUUUCUGUUAGUUUACAUUAUCUCCCAAGAGUUUUCACACAGUCUCAGAAACACAGCUGUGUAACUUCUCUUUUACUGUGACUUAAUGUUUUUUCCUAUUUAUGUGUAUUUUGAGGGAGAUCUAAACAAUCUGUGCUGAGUGGUUUUUAUAGGACUACAAUUACAAAGUCCAAAUACAGCUCAAAAGAACCACUGGGAGAGCAGAAAUGUUUUUCAAAUAAUUAAAAUUCUGUAUUUGAUUAUUAUCAAUCUGUGACUGCAAUGAAGUAUUGCCACUGCUAGUAAUGGGACAUAAGCCUUGUAUUAAGUUUCCAAGGCAUCAGAACAGAAGCUUGUCAGAUUUGCACUGCCUGAAUGUUCUUUGAUCUGCUUGCAGCUUUGCUUUGCUUCCUUUAAUUGUGAGAGCAGUUUUGACAGGUUUCCUAUGGCUAAUUUAUUUUUCUUGUAUUAAUUGUUUUCUGAAAUGCAGACCUGGAGCUGGACACAACUGGUUUAGCAAAAAAGGCAAAGAAACUACCUAAUACAUGUGGCAGGUACUGUAUAUAGUAAAAUCAGAUGUAAGAGCUGCAGAUUAGUGAAGAAAAAGCAAGGUGUAAAGUUGUGUUAGCAAGCAUACAGAAAUAACUCCAAGAGAACCACAGAGGAGUGAAGGAGCAGCUGUCAACACAAGCAUGACAUUCGUCCUGGUGAGGGACUCCAGAUGCUGACGACUCACUGUAAACCCAUCCCCCCCACCUGAGUGAGACCAUGACCUUGGGGCCUAGGGAAGGAGGGAAGAGAGGUGACACAAUACCAGGAGAAUGGUAGAAACUAAGAAGUGUGUGUGGAGGAAUUAAUUAUUUGUAUAAUAAAUAAUAAAACUUAAUAAUGGUAAUUCAGCAUAAACAUGUAGUUUCUGUAAUAAUUACAUCUGAAUUAAUAAUUAUUGAAUGAGACUGUUAGGAUUUCAGUUAUGUUAACAGUAGAUUUUUUACUUUUUAAAUAAGGUGCAUUUCGUCUUUGUCAUAAAUAAGGUUUUAAGUGUAACAAGCUUGGUGUACUGGCAAUAAAUUUCUGUCUGAAGAAUACACAUUAACUAGGAAACUUGGAGUUUCGGAACAACCCAUGUUAUGUUUAAGUGUUAAUUUGCUAUACUCAGCCAUCUGAGAGGAAUAAUUCAUUAGGCUGGUUAAUUAAGGUAGGAGUGACACCACAAAAAUGAUACUGUUAUAGCGCUCUUUGUAAUAAAACACUAUAUAAAUCUAAAAAAAGAAUCACAGCUCUAAAUGUUUGGUUUGUAAAGAGCUCUGUAUUUGCUACUUUAAAGGAA
This is a long non-coding RNA of Corvus moneduloides (New Caledonian crow), 2984 nucleotides long. Lineage: Eukaryota; Metazoa; Chordata; Aves; Passeriformes; Corvidae. The record is from Ensembl.